This 448-nucleotide ribosomal RNA is filed under the name uncultured soil bacterium. RNAcentral describes it as "bacterial SSU rRNA". It matches the Rfam family "Bacterial small subunit ribosomal RNA", at positions 26 to 518 of the family's 1533-position model. The record is from RNAcentral.
AGAGCGAACGCUGGCGGCAGGCCUAACACAUGCAAGUCGAACGAACUCUUCGGAGUUAGUGGCGGACGGGUGAGUAACACGUGGGAACGUGCCUUUUGGUUCGGAAUAGCUCCUGGAAACGGGUGGUAAUGCCGAAUGUGCCCUUCGGGGGAAAGAUUUAUCGCCAUUAGAGCGGCCCGCGUCUGAUUAGCUAGUUGGUGAGGUAAAGGCUCACCAAGGCUACGAUCAGUAGCUGGUCUGAGAGGAUGACCAGCCACAUUGGGACUGAGACACGGCCCAAACUCCUACGGGAGCAGCAGUGGGAAUCUUGCGCAAUGGGCGAAAGCCUGACGCAGCCAUGCCGCGUGAAUGAUGAAGGUCUUAGGAUUAGUAAAAUUCUUUACAGGUAGGACGAUAAUGAACGGUACCUAACAGAAGAACGCCCGAUAACUUCGUGCCAGCAGCCGAC